AAAAAAAAAAAAAAAACCCGUUCAUCUGGGUUUUGAGCUGUGCUGCGUCGGAGAGGAGCUCGAACAAGCCACAUACCUUGUAUAUGCCAGGCGACAUAAUUUGUGUAUGCCCCUGUCGAACCAGCUAUACUAUAUGGUCCACAGGCACAGCAACAGCAUCCGUGUGCCAUCACUGUAACUGCGUUAAAGCAAUAUGCUCAAUCAGCUUACGCCUUGAAACAGACAAGCCGCUGGUUCUUUCUUUGUUCCUGUGGAGAAUUUGGAGAAUAAAAAGGCUGUUGCGAGUCAGGGUUUAGCCCAGGUGAGCUUCUGAGGGCAUGCUCAUCCUGUGCCUACAGGUUUGGGAUGUGAAUGGAAUGAGGUUCACAGGAACAGCAACAGCAUCGGCGUGCCACCACUGUAACUGCGUUAAAGGAAUAUGCUCAAUCAGUUUAUGCCUUGAAACAGACAAGCCACUGGUAAGUUUUUAUAUUUUUUUCUAGUCCAUAUGAGAAAGGCCUCUUUACUGUUUUAUGGCACUGCAAUUACCUCAGAUUCUUUCUUUGUUCCUGUGGAGAAUUUGGAAAAUAAAAGGCUGUUGCUAGUCAGAGUUUAGCCCAGGUGAGCUUCUGAGGGCAUGCUCAUCCUGUGCCUACAUGUUUGGGAUGUGAAUGGAAUGAGGUGGGCAUCUUUUUACCACCUUAUACUUGGAGCUAAGUUGGUUGAUUUGUAAGCAAAAUUCAAUCAGCAGAUUGCAGGUUCGCUGUUCCGUCCAGGAGUAUGACAAGGUUACAUGAUGUCAGUCCAUACUUUUUCAUGUUAAGUUUCAUAUGCUUAUCAGUACCUGAAUCGUGAGUCCUAUAAUAAUCAGCGCAGCGGAAACUGUCGUCAAUCACAUUUUUUCCCCCGCGCCCCUUGAAUGACUUUUAAGCAAUAUUUUA
Nymphaea colorata (pocket water lily) is the source of this 920-nucleotide long non-coding RNA. RefSeq lists it as uncharacterized. Lineage: Eukaryota; Viridiplantae; Streptophyta; Magnoliopsida; Nymphaeales; Nymphaeaceae. The transcript has 4 exons. The record is from RefSeq and is a predicted model, not a curated record.